GGUGUCGCUCUCUGGACACAGGUGAGUUAACUAUCUAUUUGCUUUCCACAUAUAAUGCUGUGUGUAUGCAAAAUUGUCUUUGCAUGUAGGCUAGAAUGACUUGGUAGCCAUAAUCGCUAACAGUGGUAAACUUUGGCAUGUUUCAAGCUUUGAUGCCAACCUAUCAACUUCGGUGCUACCUUUAUUCUUGUAUAAUGAAACUGGAUGGAGUUUGAAUGCUUUAUUACUAUUAAAUAUUGAUUCCUUUGAAAGACAUUGUGCCGUAGGAGCUACUGCUUUUACCCUUAUAAAAUGUUCAUGAUUAAAUCUUUGUCUAGUUAAUAGGCAAAAGAAAGAAAGUAUACAAUUACAAGUCUAGCACUUCAUGGUAUUGUAUUGCUAAAUUUAAUUUGCAUAGGAGGGACUAAACACUUUUUUCCCUAUGUUGACUUAAAUAAUUUAAAAUGAUUUAUGGCAAAAAUGGGGUGCUUUAGCUAUUGCAUUCACCUCAGAGUUCACAUGGGAAACUGUCAGUGCUUAUUCCACAGGCACAGGCAUAUAAUCACUCAAAAUAAUUAAUGUUUUCUAUUAUUUUGAAUUUUGUUGACAUUAGUAUUUGUUUUAUUGGUACUGGAUAACUGUGGCUGGGAAAGAGAUGAUUGAUGUUAUAUUCUUUCUAUUUGCUAGUACAUGUUUGUACUGUAAUUUCUGAAUCAUUGGCUCAGAUUUGUGUUCUAGUGUGCUGACAUUUCAUUUUGGCAUUAUGU
Molecule: unclassified non-coding RNA, 746 nt
Filed under: Hevea brasiliensis (rubber tree)
Lineage: Eukaryota; Viridiplantae; Streptophyta; Magnoliopsida; Malpighiales; Euphorbiaceae
Source: RNAcentral